AGGACGAACGCUGGCGGCGUGCUUAACACAUGCAAGUCGAACGGUGAAGCCCUUCGGGGUGGAUCAGUGGCGAACGGGUGAGUAACACGUGAGCAAUCUGCCCUUGACUCUGGGAUAACUUCGGGAAACCGGAGCUAAUACCGGAUAUGACAUACGGCCGCAUGGUCUGUGUGUGGAAAGAUUUAUCGGUCAGGGAUGAGCUCGCGGCCUAUCAGCUUGUGGUGGGUAAUGGCCUACCGAAGGCGACGACGGGUA
This 255-nucleotide ribosomal RNA is filed under the name uncultured bacterium. RNAcentral's name for it is "partial small subunit ribosomal RNA". It matches the Rfam family "Bacterial small subunit ribosomal RNA", at positions 26 to 285 of the family's 1533-position model. The record is from RNAcentral.